This 891-nucleotide long non-coding RNA is filed under the name Carica papaya (papaya). RNAcentral's name for it is "long non-coding RNA (CPAP_LNC004769)". The record is from RNAcentral. Lineage: Eukaryota; Viridiplantae; Streptophyta; Magnoliopsida; Brassicales; Caricaceae.
AUUUAUUCUUUUAAAUUAACCACAUCAUUUUUUGUUAUACCAAAUUUUCAAUUUAUACCAAUAUUUUUAAAAUACCAAUUUGUUUAAAAUUUACUUAAUUUACCGAAUUAUAGAUUUUAUUUAUUAAUUUUACCUUGUGCUCGAGGGAAUUUACCCUCCUACUUGCAUAUGUGGUAUGGGGAGCACAUUUGCGAAGACCCCUCAACAUUCGUAGAAGCCUACUAGGUCAACAUGACGCGCAAGGCUUGGUGCAAUAUGCAGCUACUUAGAGUGUAGUGGCACUCCCACACACAGACCCUAUGCGCAAAUGCGCACCAGCACGGAUCGCAGUGCCAUGAACAUGCCCGCACGACUAUGACGACAACAACUACAACUAUUAUCAUGAUUAGAAUUAUUAAGACAAUGACUAUAGGUCUGACAACCUAUCUAUGUGGUGGAUUGUAAUCGCUUUUUUGAAGUAUAUCGCUAGUAACUUAAAAAAAUAUUAAGAACCAAACAUCCUAAUGAUCAAUUCCUAAGGGUAGUUAAACCUGUUGGACCAUAUCAAUCCAUUUUUCUGGUUGUUCAUAUCAGUGAAUGGCACCAUUAUCUUCGCUUGUUCCCCAUUAGCAAACCCUACAUGAAACUGUUGCUGUACUUACGAGUUCAUCUUGUCAACGAACCACACAUGCUGAUGCUGUAGCUCCUGCACUAGAGAAUCCUCUUUGAUUUGAGCUGGCAUCUCCCGAGGACCCUUCAUGACUUUUUUGUCUGGUGGUCCCCUAAGGCUGAAGUGACUUGCUAAGUGUUUUUGUCCUAUUCUGGAUUUCUUUAAGGUGUUGCUCGAUGAGCCCACCCAAAUCGUUGAGAUCGAUAAGGUUGAGUUGGUGGAGGGAAUUCCCAAUUAGACUU